Long non-coding RNA from Harmonia axyridis, 860 nucleotides. RefSeq lists it as uncharacterized. The record is from RefSeq and is a predicted model, not a curated record. NCBI's taxonomy places the organism in Eukaryota, Metazoa, Arthropoda, Insecta, Coleoptera, Coccinellidae. The transcript is spliced from 2 exons.
CCAAUGGCCAACUGAAAAUAAGUUCUGAAGGAAAAGGGCGAGCACUGUUCCAGAAAAAAUAUCACUCUGUACAUUUGUGCAGAUGCUACGAGAAAAAAUAUUGAAAAAAAAAGCGUCACAUUGCGGACAAUUGCAUUUUGGGGACUAUUUUGAAUUUAACAUUUUGAUUGCCCUUUUUGUCAAUAUAGCACAUAGUCCUUUAUUAAAGAAUAAUCAAUCCAUGUUGAAAACUUGUGAAUAAAAUAUCGUUUUCAGUGUUGUUCUCAAAAAAUACCCUUAACUACCUGAACAACCAAAAUUAUAUUUCUGGAUUUGUGAAUUCUAAUUAGGAGAUUUAUAAUAAUUUCAUCAGAAUAUAUUUGACCUCUUUCUGCGGUACAUUGUCAUGAACACCGAACGACCUCGAAUGAAAGCCAAUAACUGAGGAGCAGCACGAGCGUUUUCCUUCAGUGGCGGCUAGACAUCGAGUCUGUCUGUUAUUUGAAUUCACGCGAUGACCAUAUACGGAAAAAUUGUACAAAUUAUAAUGACUACCCCUACGACAAAAAAAUCGUGAUCUAAUGUACGCUGAGUGUGAACUUCACCAUGGACCUUGAGAUGGAUACGAGAGUACAAGCAACUACCUCAAUGAUACAGCAUCAUUCACUUCAUCCAUAAUAAUUAUUGUUUAUUUAUUGGAUAUGUAAGACAUACCCGUAUUAUGUCUAUAAAAACAUAUACUUCUUUAAACUAUAAAUAUGUUUAUUUAUAAUUAAUAAGAUGGAAUUAUAGAUUGUGCAAUUUGAUUAGAAUUCGAAAUAUCGAUUCUAUUCAACUGAACUAUUGAUGUCAUCAUGUAAAUAUAACUCACUGUGAAUUAG